AAGGCUAUACUUUCAGGGAUCAUUUCUAUAGUUGUUACUAGAGAAGUUUCUGAUUGUGUAGAGUACAGAAAAUAAUAUUAAAGUAAGACCAAAACUGA
RNAcentral lists this small nucleolar RNA (98 nucleotides) under Fukomys damarensis (Damara mole-rat). RNAcentral describes it as "Small nucleolar RNA U3". It matches the Rfam family "Small nucleolar RNA U3", at positions 1 to 108 of the family's 219-position model. From Rfam's summary of the family: Small nucleolar RNAs (snoRNAs) are involved in the processing and modification of rRNA in the nucleolus. There are two main classes of snoRNAs: the box C/D class, and the box H/ACA class. The record is from Rfam by way of RNAcentral. Lineage: Eukaryota; Metazoa; Chordata; Mammalia; Rodentia; Bathyergidae.